ACCGACAGCCACGCCACCUUCAGCACACCCGAGCUCCUGUGAUGUCAGAAGCUAAGCAGGGUCGGGCCUGGCUAGUGCUUGGAU
Molecule: ribosomal RNA, 84 nt
Filed under: Jaculus jaculus (lesser Egyptian jerboa)
Lineage: Eukaryota; Metazoa; Chordata; Mammalia; Rodentia; Dipodidae
Source: RNAcentral